AGAAAAUCAAAAAUCAACGCCAGAAAAUUAAAAUCACCACUUGAAAAUCGAAAAUCACCACCAGAAAAUCGAAAACCAACACCAAAAAAUUAAAAUCACCACCGUAAAAAUAAAAACCACCAAAUAAUUUCCGAUCAUCUUUCCAAGUCACCUACAAAUCACCGGAUUAAACCGAUACUACAACUAAUAAUCACCGUAGCUUUUCAUAUAUGCUUCUUUUUAUAAUUUCAAAUCCAUGUAUGUUAAAUAACAAAUCACCACCGGAAAAAAUAAUCAAAGAAAACACUACAGGAUAAAUCUCUCUGAAACCACAAAAACACAUCCGCAUCCAUAUUGUUAUCCACUUAUCUGUGCACCAUAAAUAAACAACCACGGUAUAGUUAACAUCUCUGACUAGUGGAACUGCCACUUGCCUAAUGCAAAAAAUCGCCGCGCGGAGGUUUUUGGUUGCUGCAAAACAGAGAGAAAGCGAGUAAAAAUGCAGGAGACGACUGUGAUUGUGUUUGUGUGUCUGCCGGCGGUGGCGAUUGAGCCGCUGCGGUGCUUUAAGUCGCGGUUGUGAUGGAGCUCGUGAGGGGAGGGGGAGAGAGAGGGAG
RNAcentral lists this long non-coding RNA (596 nucleotides) under Daucus carota (carrot). Its description in RNAcentral is "long non-coding RNA (DCAR_LNC006936)". The record is from RNAcentral. Lineage: Eukaryota; Viridiplantae; Streptophyta; Magnoliopsida; Apiales; Apiaceae.